Molecule: long non-coding RNA, 1119 nt
Organism: Vespula vulgaris
Lineage: Eukaryota; Metazoa; Arthropoda; Insecta; Hymenoptera; Vespidae
Exons: 3
Source: RefSeq, a predicted model, not a curated record
CUGGGAUUCAACGCGAUCCUUUCCGGCGUUGCGUUGCGGAUAGUCGCCGUAGGCGGAUGUAUUGCCUACGUGCCUACGACUCUCUUACGCGGAUUCGUCGCUCCUCUUCCUUUCGUUAUUCGUUAUCCGUUAUAUGUAAGCCAACGAAGUCGCGUAAAAGGGGAAGGAAGAAGAACGACGAGCGCACUCAAACGAAGAAGUAUUCAAGAGUCUGUAAUGUUCUCAGAAACGGUACUGAAUUUCUACGAAGGAGACCUUAUCUAGCAAGUACAGAUAGCAGCCAAUAACGACAACGACGAAAACGACGACGAGGUUGAGCGGAUGGAGAAAGAGGAGGAAAAGAGGAGUACGACGACAGAAACGCAAAAAGUUACAUGUGUUAGCCGAUGCACCGACUAAUAGUGCAAGAGGGCUUAUUCCGAUGAGAAUAUACGAAGCGACACGAAGAGAAAUAAGCGAUACUCGGUUAUUCGCCGACUACAUUAUAAAAUACAUCGUAAAAGGAAAGAAGAGAAGAGCUGGACAAAGGUGAAAAGACAGAUCGAAAGGGCAAACGAAGUAUCACUCGUGCGAGAAUGUCGGUAGUUAUCUGAAACGAACGAGACGACCGACACUAUGUUGACAGCUUCGACUUCGUGAAACUCUCGGCACUUUUUCGAUAGAACUGUUGGACGUACAAUCAUAAAUUUUAUAGCAACCGGUCCGCGAAUUCAUUCGCUGUCGUUCGAACUUCUUAAAUAUGGAAGAAGGAAGGACACAUUUCUACUAUAUUAUUUAAUGAUAUACAAAAAAAGAGAGAAGGAGAGAGAGCUCGUAAGCGAAUGGAACGAUCAUAGAUAAAAUAAAGAGUUUUAAAAAAGUCGCUAAAAUAAUCAUGCAAAUUUUAAUCGAAUUACUUGAUUCUGCGUAAUUUAUGCAACACCUACGUAGUUUCGAAUUCGACUCGACAAAUUUUACUCAAAUACAUCGAACAUUCCUCUACUUCGAUAAGGUACGUACGCACGUGAUUUCUAAAAUGAUUUCACACAUAUCUUCAAUUUUAUCGCUUCUCCUUUUUCUUAUUUUUCUUUUUCACUCGCGUAAUUUCACCGGGACUUCGCCGGUUACGGUACUUGUGAG